ACCAUCAUGCUUCUCAUGCAUCAGUCUGUUAUGGUACAAUGAACCCUUGACGGUUAGAAGUACAGAUUUGAAAUCAAACAAAGUAUCUUCAUGGAACAUUAUAUAGUUGAUAAGUUAAUUUGUAACACGAUUGUAAAAACCAAGGAAAAAUACUUCAUGGAACAUGUGGUUAUGUCCAUGAUCUAUCGCACAUGCUUCACCUGAAGUUAUACAAUCAAAAAUACUAAAUCUUCAAAGUAAACAGACAAACACGAAAUAUUGUUAUUGCAUUUGGAAUCAUCAGAACAAUGAAAAUUUGGGUUUCUUACCAUACCAGAGAGAAGGACAUGCUAUACGUGGAUAUGUAUUCUUUAUAGUCCUACACAACCCGGGCCAGAUUGUCUUAAUAUGGUUCUUAGUCGAAAUACCACAUGUCGGCACUUUUAAUUCUCUGAUACGAUACAUCCGUCUUCAUUACCAUACAUACUGAAAGAGACCUGACUAAUUCUCCAUGCUAACUUCAAAGUCUCCUGAACUUUGCAGAAAUGACUUCAGGAAGUUACCUAGAAGCAAAGUGAAGACAUGGACCCGAAUAUUUGCCGCAAAGAAUCAUACCAUGCAGGAGGGUCAAAAAUUCUGAUCAUGGGAAAGGUAUGCUCACCUCCCACUAUGAGAACAGUUACUCCCAUCUGAGUAACUGGCCCAACCUUAGAUAGAAAAGUCUUUCCAGUGCUGGUGGUGGGUAGUUUGUGAGAAUAACGUAUAAUACAUGAAGGCCGUCUAUAGCAUAUUUUCCAUGGUUACUGCAGUUCCCCUGCGAUAAAAACCUAAAAAGAAAAAAAUGACAUCUAGAUAUGUGCAGAUCAUGCAAGAGUAAGCAUUAGUAUACCAGUUACAGGCCCUAAACUUAUGCUCUGAUACUUUUCCCAUGUACGAUUUUAGAACUACCAAAUGGUUCUUGAAGUACUCCUUCUCAAGUGUGGGGGAGCUUCUCUUGGAUAUCAGGUGGGAGGUCAAGAAGUUUACACCCUACUCUCCACGCCAGAGCACGCAUAAUAUCUGCUCUGUUUUGCCUGCACACAAUGAUACCAAGUCGCAAAAACAGUUAGAGAUUCUGGAAUUUGUGUUGUCUCGAUAAGGAAAAGUGAUUUGUUAUUGACACAUAGACAUUCCAAAAUGGAUUAGUAGUGACACAAGAAUAAAUAAAAUAUCUUGAUGUAGUUGUUAGAAUGAUGCUUAUCCCAGUCGUAUAUGUGAUAUGCAUGCAUAUGGAUAUAUUGCUUAAGACAUCUGUCUUGAAAAAACAUAAGAUUUGGAGAUAGAAAUAGUACCCAUAAUUUGAUAAACUGAUCAAGAUCUUCUUAGAACAUAAACAUAUUGAAUAUAAACUAACCCCGUACUAUCAAGCCUUAAUAAACUUACAUCAGGCCUUGGCCAUCUCCAAAGAUCAAUUUGAGUCCCACCUGCCAAAUCACACACACAAAAUCACUCUUAACUCUGCCUAACAAUAAAUCAAUGAACCCCAAUAACUUAUUCUUCUCUGAAGUUUUGAAAAAGUGAGAAGUGGCCUUACAGCAGUGGAUAUAAUCAAAUAACAAUCUGUGAUUCUGAGAUGCUCCAACGUGGAAAACCUCUGCGAAGUUGAAAAGUUAAAGGUCAUAGGCGAUCCAGAAGACCUCAAAUAAAACAAAUGCUUUUCCUAAACUUUAACCCAAAAGGACAAACGAUUAAUUGCAAAAUCACUGAAACUUGGAGAAAAAGAAAAGAGGAAAAAUCUCGGAAGAAUUGAAAGUAAGACGACGUUAGAAUCAGAAUCGUGAAGGUGAGAAGACCAAGGGAUAUCACGAUUUCACAAUUAAGAGUUAAAGACCAAAGCUCAUUCAACAUAAC
Molecule: long non-coding RNA, 1869 nt
Filed under: Brassica napus (rape)
Lineage: Eukaryota; Viridiplantae; Streptophyta; Magnoliopsida; Brassicales; Brassicaceae
Description: long non-coding RNA (BNAP_LNC000055)
Source: RNAcentral